This 446-nucleotide ribosomal RNA is filed under the name uncultured Microvirga sp. Its description in RNAcentral is "bacterial SSU rRNA". It matches the Rfam family "Bacterial small subunit ribosomal RNA", at positions 8 to 491 of the family's 1533-position model. Lineage: Bacteria; Pseudomonadati; Pseudomonadota; Alphaproteobacteria; Hyphomicrobiales; Methylobacteriaceae. The record is from RNAcentral.
AGAGUUUGAUCAUGGCUCAGAACGAACGCUGGCGGCAGGCCUAACACAUGCAAGUCGAACGAUAAGCCACCUUCGGGUGGUGGACAGUGGCAGACGGGUGAGUAACGCGUGGGAACGUGCCUUUCGGUUCGGAAUAACCCAGGGAAACUUGGGCUAAUACCGGAUACGCCCUUCGGGGGAAAGAUUCAUUGCCGAAAGAUCGGCCCGCGUCGGAUUAGCUAGUUGGUGGGGUAAUGGCUCACCAAGGCGACGAUCCGUAGCUGGUCUGAGAGGAUGACCAGCCACACUGGGACUGAGACACGGCCCAGACUCCUACGGGAGGCAGCAGUGGGGAAUAUUGGACAAUGGGCGCAAGCCUGAUCCAGCCAUGCCGCGUGGGUGAAGAAGGCCUUAGGGUUGUAAACCCCUUUCAGCGGGGAAGAUAAUGACGUACCCGCAGAAGAUAC